RNAcentral lists this ribosomal RNA (494 nucleotides) under uncultured bacterium. Its description in RNAcentral is "partial 16S ribosomal RNA". It matches the Rfam family "Bacterial small subunit ribosomal RNA", at positions 28 to 507 of the family's 1533-position model. The record is from RNAcentral.
GACGAACGCUGGCGGCGUGCUUAACACAUGCCAGUCGAACGGUGAAGCGCCUUCCUUUUUGGUGGGUGUGGAUGAGUGGCGAACGGGUGAGUAACACGUGAGUAACCUGCCCCCUUCUUCUGGAUAACCGCAUGAAAGUGUGGCUAAUACGGGAUAUUCUGGGUCUGUCGCAUGAUGGGUCUGGGAAAGAUAUUGUUUCGGUGGGGGAUGGGCUCGCGGCCUAUCAGCUUGUUGGUGGGGUGAUGGCCUACCAAGGCGGUGAGGGGUAGCCGGCCUGAGAGGGUGGACGGUCACACUGGGACUGAGACACGGCCCAGACUCCUACGGGAGGCAGCAGUGGGGAAUAUUGCACAAUGGGCGCAAGCCUGAUGCAGCGACGCCGCGUGAGGGAUGGAGGCCUUCGGGUUGUGAACCUCUUUCGCCAGUGAAGCAGGCCUGCCUCGUUUGUGGGUGGGUUGACGGUAGCUGGAUAAGAAGCGCCGGCUAACUACGUG